This 497-nucleotide ribosomal RNA is filed under the name uncultured bacterium. Its description in RNAcentral is "partial 16S ribosomal RNA". It matches the Rfam family "Bacterial small subunit ribosomal RNA", at positions 28 to 507 of the family's 1533-position model. The record is from RNAcentral.
GAUGAACGCUGGCGGCGUGCCUAAUACAUGCAAGUCGAGCGAACAGACGAGGAGCUUGCUCCUCUGACGUUAGCGGCGGACGGGUGAGUAACACGUGGAUAACCUACCUAUAAGACUGGGAUAACUUCGGGAAACCGGAGCUAAUACCGGAUAAUAUAUUGAACCGCAUGGUUCAAUAGUGAAAGACGGUUUUGCUGUCACUUAUAGAUGGAUCCGCGCCGCAUUAGCUAGUUGGUAAGGGAACGGCUUACCAAGGCAACGAUGCGUAGCCGACCUGAGAGGGUGAUCGGCCACACUGGAACUGAGACACGGUCCAGACUCCUACGGGAGGCAGCAGUAGGGAAUCUUCCGCAAUGGGCGAAAGCCUGACGGAGCAACGCCGCGUGAGUGAUGAAGGUCUUCGGAUCGUAAAACUCUGUUAUUAGGGAAGAACAAAUGUGUAAGUAACUAUGCACGUCUUGACAGUACCUAAUCAGAAAGCCACGGCUAACUACGUG